GAUGAACGCUAGCGGCAGGCUUAAUACAUGCAAGUCGUGGGGCAGCAUGAGUGUAGCAAUACAUUUGAUGGCGACCGGCAAACGGGUGCGGAACACGUACACAACCUUCCUAUAAGUGGGGAAUAGCCCAGAGAAAUUUGGAUUAAUACCCCGUAACAUAACGAUGUGGCAUCACAUUGUUAUUAUAGCUUCGGCGCUUAUUGAUGGGUGUGCGGCUGAUUAGAUAGUUGGCGGGGUAACGGCCCACCAAGUCUACGAUCAGUAGCUGAUGUGAGAGCAUGAUCAGCCACACGGGCACUGAGACACGGGCCCGACUCCUACGGGAGGCAGCAGUAAGGAAUAUUGGUCAAUGGACGCAAGUCUGAACCAGCCAUGCCGCGUGAAGGAUUAAGGUCCUCUGGAUUGUAAACUUCUUUUAUCUGGGACGAAAAAAGGCAUUUCUAAGUCACUUGACGGUACCAGAUGAAUAAGCACCGGCUAACUCCGUGCCAGCCGCCGCCGUAA
This 504-nucleotide ribosomal RNA is filed under the name uncultured bacterium. RNAcentral's name for it is "partial 16S ribosomal RNA". It matches the Rfam family "Bacterial small subunit ribosomal RNA", at positions 28 to 523 of the family's 1533-position model. The record is from RNAcentral.